This 1506-nucleotide ribosomal RNA is filed under the name Daphnia magna. RNAcentral's name for it is "bacterial LSU rRNA". It matches the Rfam family "Bacterial large subunit ribosomal RNA", at positions 1412 to 2925 of the family's 2925-position model. Lineage: Eukaryota; Metazoa; Arthropoda; Branchiopoda; Diplostraca; Daphniidae. The record is from RNAcentral.
UAGGCGAUGGACAACAGGUUUAUAUUCCUGUACCGGUUACACGCGUUAAAACGAAGGGGAGACGCAGGUGGUUGACUGUGGCGCGCGGAUGGAAGUGCGCGUUCAAGCGGCAAGCGAGUGUAGGGAGGGAAAUCCCCCUAUGCGAUGAGGGAGCCGUGAUGAGGACGGGUUGAAACCCGGAAGAGCAGAAGAUCGUGCUGCCAAGAAAAGCCUCUAGGAGUGUGUAAGCGCCCGUACCGUAAACCGACACAGGUGGGCAAGGAGAGUAUCUAAAGGUGAGCGGGAGAACGUUUGUUAAGGAACUCGGCAACAUAGCCCCGUAACUUCGGGAGAAGGGGUGCUCCUUUCUAUAAAAGGAGAGGAGCCGCAGUGAAGAGGUCCAGGCGACUGUUUACCAAAAACACAGGUCUCUGCAAAGCCGAAAGGCGAAGUAUAGGGGCUGACGCCUGCCCGGUGCUGGAAGGUAAAGGGGAAGAGUUGGCGCUCAGAACCGAAGCCCCAGUAAACGGCGGCCGUAACCGUAACGGUCCUAAGGUAGCGAAAUUCCUUGUCGGGUAAAUUCCGACCUGCACGAAAGGCGUAACGAUCUGGACAGUGUCUCAACAAGCGACCCGGUGAAAUUGCAAUGUCUGUGAAGAUGCAGACGACCCGCGGCAAGACGGAAAGACCCCGUGGAGCUUUACUGCAGCUUGGUAUUGAGCUGAUGGCGUGCAUGUACAGGAUAGGUGGGAAUCAGUGAAACAUAUGCGCUAGCAUGUGUGGAGAUAACCGUGGGAUACCACCCUUGUACGUUGUUGGUUCUCACUGAUAUUCCUAGACGGGAUACAGGAAAGUGCCAGGUGGGCAGUUUGACUGGGGCGGUCGCCUCCCAAAAGGUAACGGAGGCGUUCAAAGGUUCUCUCAGCGCGGAUGGAAAUCGUGCUAAUGAGUGCAAAGGCAUAAGAGAGCCUGACUGCGAGACGUACAUGUCAAGCAGGGACGAAAGUCGGACUUAGUGAUCCGGUGGUACCGAGUGGAAGGGCCAUCGCGCAACGGAUAAAAGCUACCCCGGGGAUAACAGGCUAAUCUCCCCCGAGAGUUCACAUCGGCGGGGGGGUUUGGCACCUCGAUGUCGGCUCGUCUCAUCCUGGGGCUGUAGCCGGUCCCAAGGGUAUGGCUGUUCGCCAUUUAAAGAGGUACGCGAGCUGGGUUCAGAACGUCGUGAGACAGUUCGGUCCCUAUCUGCCGCGGGCGUAGGAGGCUUGCAGGGGUCUGUUCCUAGUACGAGAGGACCGGAAUGGGCAUGCCAAUGGUGUACCUGUUGCUUCGCCAGGAGCACAGCAGGGUAGCUAAGCAUGAUAGGAGAAGCGCUGAAAGCAUCUAAGCGCGAAGCCUGCCCUAAGAUUAGGCCUCCCGCCGCAGCAAAGCGGGUAAGACACCUUGGAGAAUACGAGGUUGAUCGGUCUGAUGUGAAAGCGUCGUGAGACGUGAAGCUGACAGAUACGAAUUGUACGAGGGCUUGACCCA